Hevea brasiliensis (rubber tree) is the source of this 247-nucleotide long non-coding RNA. RefSeq lists it as uncharacterized. The record is from RefSeq and is a predicted model, not a curated record. NCBI's taxonomy places the organism in Eukaryota, Viridiplantae, Streptophyta, Magnoliopsida, Malpighiales, Euphorbiaceae. The transcript has 2 exons.
GGGGUGGUGGUGGUGGUGAUUAGCACGGCUCUAGUACAUGUCAAUUUUGUGAAUCAGGUGAUUUUGUCCGGGAAGAAAACCAAUCGAUUCGUCCUACUUGUAGUGGAAUUUAUGCUCUAGCAAGUAAAUGAUGAAACAAUAUUAGAUACAAGCUUUAGAAGUCUAAAUGCAUGAAAAGACAGUUCAUGGUAUUUGUAACAAGAACAUAUCAAUUGGCACACAAGUUACAAGAUUUUCAAUCUCAAAA